This 357-nucleotide ribosomal RNA is filed under the name uncultured bacterium. RNAcentral describes it as "bacterial SSU rRNA". It matches the Rfam family "Bacterial small subunit ribosomal RNA", at positions 441 to 793 of the family's 1533-position model. The record is from RNAcentral.
AGGAAGGUAGUGUAGUUAACACCUGCAUUAUUUGACGUUACCUACAGAAGAAGCACCGGCUAACUCCGUGCCAGCAGCCGCGGUAAUACGGAGGGUGCGAGCGUUAAUCGGAAUUACUGGGCGUAAAGCGCAUGCAGGCGGCCUGUUAAGUCAGAUGUGAAAGCCCGGGGCUUAACCUCGGAAUUGCAUUUGAAACUGGCAGGCUAGAGUCUUGUAGAGGGGGGUAGGAAUUUCAGGUGUAGCGGUGAAAUGCGUAGAGAUCUGAAGGAAUACCAGUGGCGAAGGCGGCCCCCUGGACAAAGACUGACGCUCAGAUGCGAAAGCGUGGGGAGCAAACAGGAUUAGAUACCCUGGUAG